This is a long non-coding RNA of Mustela erminea (ermine), 3187 nucleotides long. RefSeq lists it as uncharacterized. The transcript is spliced from 3 exons. NCBI's taxonomy places the organism in Eukaryota, Metazoa, Chordata, Mammalia, Carnivora, Mustelidae. The record is from RefSeq and is a predicted model, not a curated record.
CUUCGAGUCCGCGCUGGCGAGCCUUCGGCCCCGCCUUCCCUGCGGCUUUCCGGAGUCCGCUUAAAGGAGCCGCGCAAAAGAGGGUUGGUGAGAGCUGAGAACCUUGUAGGAGGAGCGGGGUUUGGGGGCCUUGCGGAGGGCUGGGUGGGAGGUUGCCUAAGGCGAGAAACGAAAUGAGGAAGGUUCCGAAAAUUCUGGAGGAAUAAAAUUUUGGAGGGAAUGAAAUCAUUCAACAAGUGCUAAUUGAGCACCUAGAACAGCAAAAGGCCAGUAUGGCUGAAUGGAACCAGCUAGCCAGAGAGCGGCGGUAGUGAAGCUGAGAGGUGUGGAAGGACUAAAUCCUGUGGAGCCUCGUGGCCUGUCCUAAGAGCCACUGAAAGCCGUGGGAGGCAUCUUAAAAAAGCGUUUUGAAAUGAAGACUUCUGAGGCCAAGAAUAUGGACUUCCCGGAGGCGAUUUGCCUGCAUCAUUUCUAAGAAGGAUAUUCAGUAAUUCACCCCUUGCCUCAGCUGGGUGAAGGUCAAAGUGAGCAGAGAUCACACUUUUUAGGAACUUAAAGGGAAUCAGAAAGUUUGCCCUGAUCAACUCUUGAGUUCUGGUCUUUUUUUACAGGGACUGCGUUUGUUUUCUCUUUGGCUGCCAAGCGUCCCUAGCUUUAAGUCUCCCUACUUCCUCUGAGAUCAGGCUUUGCUCUUUCCAAGUCCUGGCAUCUGGUUGUGCACUUAUGCGGGAUAGGGGCAGGAGUGCUGCGGGAGAUGAAACCCAAGGCCGAGGCAGGCCCCCCUGCAGGGUCAACUGAAGCGGAACUUGGCUGCAGGCAUUAAAAAACCCAAAUCAACUUAAUUUGUUUUCCUCUGUUCUUCAGCUAGUCUCUACAAACUUCCUGGUUUUGUCCUAAAACGAGAACCAGACAACUUGUGAGCAAAUCCUGUCAUCCCCCUAAUCUGAGACAGCCUAUCUCAGAGGACAUUUUAUACAUUUUUUUUUUCUUUUUCCAAAAAGAUCCUUCUGGAGUCUCACAUUAGCAGUACUGCGUGCCUCUUGGCCCUUGUUCCUUGUGCACGUGGUUUUUCUUUCUGGCUUCUUGAGACAGUUUGAGAGUCUUCGAGAAGGAUUAUGGGCUGGCCAGCCAGAUCCCUGUGAAAUCAGACCAUUAGACAUGUUCCGAGGGCUCAGCCUCCUCUCCUUUUUUUCCACUUAGAUAAGUGUCAAAAAGUAGGAGUCAUGUCCUAACCAGGACACAUGCCCCUGUGGCAUCUUAGCGAAGCCCAUCCUGGUGGAGCAGCGUCUGCCAGCUUCGGCCAUCGGCCAUCGUGGUCACCCCCAUUCUGCUCGCCGCCUUAGCCUUGGGCCGGCAUCCAGCUCCACUCUUACACUUCAAGAUCAGGGCUUAGGAAAAUAAUGCAUUCUAAAAAAUCCCGACCGACCAAAAAGUACCAAGAAGUCAUUUGGGUUACACCCUGACUCUUGUCACCCAGAUACCACAUGACCAGAAAGGGAAUGUCCCUGGAGCAACAUCACUGUGUCCCUGAUUAGCAGCCUUGCAGCAACCUGAACAAAGAAUUCCAAGCCCCAGGACCCAGAACUUGUAAACAGAAGAGGAGAGCAGUCAGGUGACUUAUCCAGCUGAGUUAUACCAGACAGCCCAGUAUUAGCAGUUCCUGAGGGGCCUGCUCUGAGCCUGAGUCAGCCAGGGUGUGACAAGCCACAGGGCUGAUCUCACCUUUGCAAGCCAACCAAGUUCCCCGCCCCCUCCACCCACUCAGCGGCUGUCAGCCACCUCUGCCAACUUGUUCCUUUAGUUUCUAUUUUUCUCCCUCUCUUUCUCUGGGCAGCCACCCCCUCUGCUAUUUAUCUCCUAACAUACCCAGCCGAUCUUCAGAGCUCUGCGGGUUCAAGUGUGGUGACUCAUUUGUUACUUAAGGUAUUUUGGGUUUGUUACUUCUCAGCCACUUUACCAAGAACCACACUGAGCCAAAACAGAGAAGGGAGGAAAUGGGGGCGUGCAGAUGGGGGUGGGGGGUGGGGCAGAAAUCCAAAGCUGCUAUGGAAAAAUUCAGCUGAGGUGCUGUGGUCAAAGCCUGGACUCAGAACGAGGCCAUUCCAAAAGCAACAACGGGAAGGAAACAGUGCUUUGAUUAGAACUUCAUUGAGAGGCCUGAACACACACCCGGUAGUUCUCCCACAACAGAGAUGGUGUGGUCAGGAAUCCAAAAGAAUCGUCAUUGCUCUUUGGGAAUAUCUAUGAACAACCACACCCAAACUGUGUCCACUUGGCCAGUGCAAGGUGGAAGGGGGCAGCUGGGGGACAGCCAAACACCACCUGCAAAAUACAAUCGAAUCAUUUGCCCCAAGCCUCAGUCUCCCCCUCCCCAAUACCCAUGUGCCUUUGGCUCAAUCAUCUAGAUCUGCUUUGUGGACAAUAGCCGUGGGGAGUUGCUGGUGUCCUGAGUAGGCGAGGCUGAUGUGAACAAUGGAAAAAUCACGUGGGACAGGUCAGCCGGAAGAUCCAUGAAUGUAUAUGUUGAGAGACUUCCAGAAAGUCGUUGUUUAGAAAUUAAUUGUCUCCCUGGCCUCAGCCCAUGCCGUACACAACGCUUCUGCCUGGACUGUAAGUCACUCGUGUUCUAGUCCCCGCAGCUUCAGUAAGACUAUUGAAUUGCUGUUUGCAACAUUUGCCAUCCGUUUCUGGUUUGGGGCUUGCAAGAGGAGCCUGCUGAGUGUUCUCAUUCCUUUUUAAUUAUUCAUUUUUGACUUUGACAAAUAUUGCCUAAAUGCUUAAUGUUGGAGGCAGGCCUUGAGGUCCAGAGCUGGGGCAUGAGAUAGAGCCCAAGCUUCCGAACUCCAGCUGGGAGGAAGAAGCUGAUGAGCAGAGGGAGAGGACAGCUUCAUGGAUUUCAUGACAAAUCUCAUGAUUGUUCAGUCUGGGCUGUCGAGUCUUUCUUAUGCAACAACGGUACGUUGUACCACAGCUGCUACGUGCAAACCAUCUUCCUGGAAACAGUGAGAAGUACAAAGAAGCUAUGUGAUAGAAGUGCUGUAUCAGGACAACAGAGAAAGACGGAAGGAUGCUGAUCUCCGAUGGCAUCGUGAAGCCAUCUUGUUUCAGCCCAGACGACAGCAAAUCAGUAUCAUAUAGAUCACAUCCUCUGAACUACAAGAAAACUUACUUUAAAAGUUACUCUUUA